CAUCGAGUAGCUGGUUUCUUCCGAAGUUUCCCUCAGGAUAGCAGCAAAACAUACAAAUUAGUUUCAUCAGGUAAAGCUAACGAUUAGAGGAAUCUGGGAAAUAUUUUCCUAGACCUAUUCUCGAACUUUAAAUAGGUGAGAAAAGGGAAAUGCUUAAUUUUGAUUUCCUUUAUAGAAUAUAAGUUUUGUUAGUGGGCAUGUUGUGGUAAGCAUAUCAUGCGAUGCGGGUUGCUCCGAAAGUCUUGUUAAAGCGUCAAAUUUUUAUUUUAAUAUGGGUAAACUAGACACCACAAAGAAUGUAAAUAAAUGAAAACAGCUCGAACGUGGCCAUGGAAGUCGGAAUCGUCUAAGUAGUGUGUAACAACUAACGAGCCGAAUUUAUUUGUUUCGAAAAUGGAUGACGCUAAACCCAAAAGCUUAUACAAGACUGAAAAAUGAAUUUAUAUUUCUCAUUUUUCAUGUAGGAAGACGUGGAGAGAAAUUCGAAGAUUUGUACAGUGAUGUGCAUUUGAUUUCUCUCUAGUGCAGAUCUUGGUGGUAGUAGCGAGUACAAAAAUUAAAAUUUUUUGAGCUGAAGUGGAGAGAGGUCUCACGUGAACAGAAAUUGUACGUGAGUUAGUCGAUCCUAA
Molecule: ribosomal RNA, 629 nt
Filed under: uncultured organism
Description: eukaryotic LSU rRNA
Rfam family: Eukaryotic large subunit ribosomal RNA
Source: RNAcentral